Molecule: ribosomal RNA, 419 nt
Filed under: uncultured bacterium
Lineage: Bacteria
Description: bacterial SSU rRNA
Rfam family: Bacterial small subunit ribosomal RNA
Source: RNAcentral
UAUUGGUCAAUGGGCGCGAGCCUGAACCAGCCAAGUCGCGUGAGGGAGGACGGCCCUACGGGUUGUAAACCUCUUUUGCCGGGGAGCAACGGGCGCCACGUGUGGCGCCACUGAGAGUACCCGGUGAAAAAGCAUCGGCUAAAUCCGUGACAGCAGCCGCGGUAAUACGGAGGAUGCGAGCGUUAUCCGGAUUUAUUGGGUUUAAAGGGUGCGUAGGCGGCAGAUUAAGUUAGAGGUGAAAUUCCGAGGCUCAACCUUGGCACUGCCUCUGAUACUGGUUUGCUAGCGAGUAGAUGCUGUAGGCGGAAUGUGUGGUGUAGCGGUGAAAUGCAUAGAGAUCACACAGAACACCGAUUGCGAAGGCAGCUUACAAAUCUAUAUCGGACGCUGAGGCACGAAAGCGUGGGGAGCAAACAGGA